This 638-nucleotide ribosomal RNA is filed under the name uncultured bacterium. Its description in RNAcentral is "bacterial SSU rRNA". It matches the Rfam family "Bacterial small subunit ribosomal RNA", at positions 79 to 717 of the family's 1533-position model. The record is from RNAcentral.
GCUACUAUAAUGAGAGCGGCGUACGGGUGCGUAACACGUGUGCAACCUGCCUUUAUCUGGGGGAUAGCCUUUCGAAAGGAAGAUUAAUACCCCAUAAUAUAUUGAUUGGCAUCAAUUAAUAUUGAAAGCUCCGGCGGAUAGAGAUGGGCACGCGUAAGAUUAGCUAGUUGGUGAGGUAACGGCUCACCAAGGCUGCGAUCUUUAGGGGGCCUGAGAGGGUGAUCCCCCACACUGGUACUGAGACACGGACCAGACUCCUACGGGAGGCAGCAGUGAGGAAUAUUGGACAAUGGGUGAAAGCCUGAUCCAGCCAUCCCGCGUGAAGGACUAAGGACCUAUGGUUUGUAAACUUCUUUUAUACAGGGAUAAACCUACUCUCGUGAGGGUAGCUGAAGGUACUGUAUGAAUAAGCACCGGCUAACUCCGUGCCAGCAGCCGCGGUAAUACGGAGGGUGCAAGCGUUAUCCGGAUUUAUUGGGUUUAAAGGGUCCGUAGGCGGGUCGAUAAGUCAGUGGUGAAAGCCUGCAGCUUAACUGUAGAACUGCCGUUGAUACUGUCGGUCUUGAGUGUAUUUGAGGUAGCUGGAAUGAGUAGUGUAGCGGUGAAAUGCAUAGAUAUUACUCAGAACACCAAUUGCG